Long non-coding RNA from Scylla paramamosain (green mud crab), 1056 nucleotides. RefSeq lists it as uncharacterized. The transcript is spliced from 4 exons. The record is from RefSeq and is a predicted model, not a curated record. Lineage: Eukaryota; Metazoa; Arthropoda; Malacostraca; Decapoda; Portunidae.
GUGUAUGAAUAUUUAAGCAAAGGAUAAAGAGUAACAGUGAAAAACAGUGAAAGUUAAAAAUUCCAUAAACCUGAAUAAGGCAUUGAGUCGCGCGCGCGCGCGCGCACACACACACACACACACACACACACACACACACACACACACACACACACACACACACACACACACACAUGCUGGCGAGAAAACAAAGGGGCACAUUAUUUCAGCCGUAACAUUUUUUCAUCCUGUGGUCAUUUUUUUUUUUUCUGGUAGCUCUUGGGCAAAUCGAGAAAGUACAUACCAUAUUAUACAAUGGUAAGACAAAUCAACAAGACACUAUGUAAUUAUUGUUGCUGUAACGCUCAAAGAAAGGAUUGUGAGUCAACGUAAUCUUAACAUAAUUUCUUCUCACGGAUAACGUUCCACACAGACAGUACGAACAUUUAUUUCUUCACAUACGCCAAAUCUUUCUGCGUUCCACAAAUCUUUCUGUAUCAUUGGCGUACCGAGCGGCUUCGAAACAAGGAACCGAAGAUAUGCGACUCACGUCAGCCAGCCGGCCAGCCACCCAGUGUCGUCUGGUAUGUUACGUGGUGCAUAAGCUUGUCGGAUUCUGUGCUUUCUCCAACAUCUCUAAUACUUACUUGUGGUCGUCGGGUUAUGUGCUUUCUCCAACACCUCUAAUACUCACUUGUGGUUGAGGCGAAACAAGACUGCCUCAGCCCCACUUGAAGCCUGUCCCCAAAGGUCCAGCUGUGAUUGCCACAGCUGCGCUUCACGAUGGUCCUGUCAGGUGAGUGUUGAUUAAUCUGCCUCACUCCCCAGCAAGGUGGUGGAGAAUACUCACUAAGCUGUCACUGCAUUGGACCAUAAAAACACCAUUGAAAACCUCCAUGACUUUUGGGAGCAUUUUCAAAGGCCACAGAGAUUACUAGUCGGGUUUUCAUGCAUGUUUUAUCCCUUGACGGUACAGAAAUGUUGUCAGACUAUCACUAGAAUCAUGAAUGCACUAACUGAAAACCUGCAUAACAUUCAGGAGUAUUUUCAAAGGCCACAUAAAUGACUGAUCGAGUU